RNAcentral lists this ribosomal RNA (816 nucleotides) under uncultured crenarchaeote. Its description in RNAcentral is "bacterial SSU rRNA". It matches the Rfam family "Archaeal small subunit ribosomal RNA", at positions 105 to 922 of the family's 1478-position model. The record is from RNAcentral. Lineage: Archaea; Thermoproteati; Thermoproteota.
CAACCUAACCUAUGGACGGGAAUAACCUCGGGAAACUGAGAAUAAUGCCCGAUAGAACACUAUAUCUGGAAUGGUUUGUGUUCCAAAUGAUUUAUCGCCGUAGGAUGGGACUGCGGCCUAUCAGUUUGUUGGUGAGGUAAUGGCCCACCAAGACUAUUACAGGUACGGGCUCUGAGAGGAGUAGCCCGGAGAUGGGUACUGAGACACGGACCCAGGCCCUAUGGGGCGCAGCAGGCGAGAAAACUUUGCAAUGUGCGAAAGCACGACAAGGUUAAUCCGAGUGGUUUGUGCUAAACGAACCUUUUGUCGGUCCUAGAAACACCGAUGAAUAAGGGGUGGGCAAGUUCUGGUGUCAGCCGCCGCGGUAAAACCAGCACCUCAAGUGGUCAGGAUGAUUAUUGGGCCUAAAGCAUCCGUAGCCGGCGCUAUAAGUUUUCGGUUAAAUCUGUACGCUCAACGUACAGGCUGCCGGGAAUACUGUAGCGCUAGGGAGUGGGAGAGGUAGACGGUACUCGGUAGGAAGGGGUAAAAUCCUUUGAUCUAUUGAUGACCACCUGUGGCGAAGGCGGUCUACCAGAACACGUCCGACGGUGAGGGAUGAAAGCUGGGGGAGCAAACCGGAUUAGAUACCCGGGUAGUCCCAGCUGUAAACUAUGCAAACUCAGUGAUGCAUUGGCUUGUGGCCAAUGCAGUGCUGCAGGGAAGCCGUUAAGUUUGCCGCCUGGGAAGUACGUACGCAAGUAUGAAACUUAAAGGAAUUGGCGGGGGAGCACCACAAGGGGUGAAGCCUGCGGUUCAAUUGGAUUCAACGCCGGG